This 83-nucleotide transfer RNA is filed under the name candidate division SR1 bacterium RAAC1_SR1_1. It matches the Rfam family "tRNA". Rfam says of the family: Transfer RNA (tRNA) molecules are approximately 80 nucleotides in length. RNAcentral also lists the same sequence under 1 other name. Lineage: Bacteria; Candidatus Absconditibacteriota. The record is from Rfam by way of RNAcentral.
GCCCAGAUGAUGGAAUGGUAGACAUGCUAGACUCAAAAUCUGGUGGCUUUACGGCUGUGAGGGUUCGAGUCCCUCUCUGGGUA